Gallus gallus (chicken) is the source of this 1038-nucleotide long non-coding RNA. NCBI's taxonomy places the organism in Eukaryota, Metazoa, Chordata, Aves, Galliformes, Phasianidae. The record is from Ensembl.
GUGAGUGAAGGUCACGUGGCUGUCACUGCGCACAGCCAAUCAGAAGGCACUGUGAAAACAGCGCCCACUCCCUGCCACGAAAUGGCAGCUGACACAAAAUGGCGGCUCCCAGUGUAUGCAAGGGGACGGGCUUCCUGUUCAAUGAACCAAUGGGAGAGCUGGAGGUGUGGGCUGGUUCUGGCAGCCAAUCCCACCAGGGACGGCCUCUCUGUCUGGCAGCCAGUGGCAGGGAAGGCAGCACGUGGAGCUGGAGGUUGUGCCUGCUGCAGCUCUGCUCAGCUGAGCCACGUGGGCCCCUGUUCCUGAGAAAAGUUGCUGCAGUCUCCACUGUGUUAUCUUGCAGGUGUUUUUCGGUAACUGCCAUAACUGUUUCUGUAUGUUUGGAAAGCAGUGAAUGGAGAAUUAUCUACCGUUUCUAUGUGUCCACAGUAACUCCAUUCUCAACUGUCUGUGUAAAUACCAAGAAUAUACAGACAGGUGUAUUUCUUUGCUUUGAUAGUUUGAGAUCUAAAUUGAAAUUUUCAGGAUGUCUGUGAAUUAACAACUUUUCUUUCUAGGCGGUCCUGUUUUGGGAGAUAUCUUAUCAGUGGCAUUAUUUCUGUCAUUUAAGUAAUCCUGUGAUGUGUUGUGUUGGAGCGGAUGCUGCUGCUGCUUGGGCUCGUCUAUUCUUUGUAAUCUCUGCUUUUGACACUUCAUUCUUUUAGUUACCAGAUAAAGAGUUGCAUGUAUCAGCCAGCAUUGGUAUGUGUUAAUGUCUGUAGAAUUACUUUUUGUAACUUCUGUAGACACAGGAAAGCGGAUGAUGUGGUACUUGUUCAGUUUUUAUUCCCUGUAAUGUUUCAGUUUAAUAUAAGUGUUGUGGCUUUCUGCUUUUUGCAGGUGGUACAGCAGCUGCAUUCUGUUGGUGGGCAGAAUAAAAUUUCUCUGUUUACUUUAACAUUUACCAUCUUUUUUUUUCUUUUUUUUUUCUGUUUUUCUGUACUGUUUUUCAACAUAUUAAACCUUAUUAUACAAACCUAUAGAGGACUGGGGCAUCAC